GUUUAAAAAAAGUUCCCGGUAACGGUGAGUGUUUACAUAAAGCUCCCGGUAACGGUGAGUGUUUAAAUAAAGCUCCCGGUAACGGUGUGUGUUUACAUAAAGCUCCCGGUAACGGUGUUUCCGCGCUCGCGGUUUGGCGCCUCUUUCUGUCCGAACAAUGGACGUCAUGUGAGCUCGCGCUCACAUCCAGCUGUUGCACUUGCGCGCGUCGUCACCUUUAAGAUGCUCGCGGAUAAAGCUUGAUUUAAACCCGACACCAUUUUAACGUUAACGGCUCGAGCUGCGCGUGGCGACCGAGGUUACGGAUGACCGUCCGUGUGUGUGUGUGUUUUAACGGUACCGGUAAGAGCAGCGGAGCCGCGAGCGGGGCGGGGGAAUUAACGGCCGAGCUGUGUCUCCGGUAAAUGUCGGAUUUCAUUAUUUGUCGGCCUACCGUGAAGUGGCGGAGGGGGCGCGAGGGACGGCACGAGACGAGCCCGGAGUCCGCGCGCGGGGCGCACACACACACUUUCCCUUUAAAGCGGAGGGGGACGGAGGGCGCGAGGAGGAGGUAAAAAAAGGAAAGGAAGAAAGAGAGGGAGGGAGGAGGCGAGGAGGAGGAGAGGAGGAGAGGAGGAGGGCGAGAAAGAGGAGUGAGGGAGAGAGUUAAAAAAAAGAGAAAGAUGGCAUCCUGUCGAUUCAAACACCGAGGCGGAGCCAUGGACCGCGGCCGACCAGGAGCGCUCUAGUUAGGGGACGAGCUGUACGCAACGCCGAGGCUUGGGGACCCGACGCUGCGGCCUUUGUUUGUUUUUUUGGAGCUAUCGCUAAUAAAUGAGUCCGGCUACAUCCUGCUCAUCUUCUGUAUCAAAAUAAUUCUAUUCUGCAUGCAAUUCACCAGAUUUUAUUACAGUAGACAUAAGCAAAUGAAAUUAAAAUGCACCAUUAAAGAAAGCAUGAGACCAACCAUUUUGUCGCAUUUACAGAAUCAUCUUGUCAGAGCCUCUGUGCCGCCAACAGACUGCCACAUUAAUUCAUAACUCAUACCCUGAUAAGUGUCAGUCAGCUGGAGCUAAAUAUCAUCAACAUAUUUCCAUAAAGCAGCGGGCGGAGAGGCGCCGCGCACAGGCCGCGCAGCUCGUUUUCAUAGCGGCAGUUGGAGCCUCUCGCUCGGCUCCGCUGCCCUCCUCCCUCCCCUCUUCGCUCCCAGGCUGGUUCGCUCUCCCCUUCAGGAUGGAUACCUCCUGGAGUAAUUUCCUCUUUCAGACGCCGUCGUCUCAGAGUCAGCCUGAGACGCCUCUUCAGUCUGAGCUGCUGCCCGAGCUGACCGGUGCCGCUCAGAGUCCUCCGGCCGAGCACAUCGUGACACCGCCGUCCACCGUCGACACGGCCGCCCUGAGCGAGGAGCCGCUGCCCGUCAAACCCCUCGUCAAGCCGAGCCGGCCCGCCCACAUCUGCGCCACCUGCAACAAAGAGUUCAAGAACAGCUACAACCUGCGGCGGCACCAGUCGGUGCACACGGGCAUCAAGUUGAAGGACCGCGCCGCCCGCGAGAAGGAGGACGCGGCAGGGAAGGUGGGCCGGGUGGAGAAGCAGAUGGUCCCUCUGUCCCUCCUCCACCUCACCCUGCCCACGCAGCCUCCUCCACCCACCGCCAUUGUCGCCGCCCCAGAGAACCUCCCCCAGCCAGGCCAGCACGGCAACCAAGAGAGCCAGCCGGUCUCUGUUUCCAUCGCCCCGGCAACCGUAACCUUGGCUGCGCCUCCUCAACCCAUCCAGGCAGCUGUUGUGGUCGUGGGCUCCAUGGAGCAGAAUCCAAACCCCAACCCCAACCCCAACCCCAACCAGGUGAGGAAGAACCACGCCUGCGAGGCCUGUGGGAAGGCCUUCAGAGACGUGUACCACCUGAACCGUCACCGUCUGUCCCACUCGGACGAGAAGCCGUACUCCUGCCCGAUCUGCCAGCAGCGCUUCAAGAGGAAAGACCGGAUGAGUUACCACGUACGCUCGCACCAGGGCGGCGUGGAGAAGCCGUACAUCUGUCCGCACUGCGCCAAGGCCUUCUCUCGACCGGACCACCUCAACAGCCACGUCCGACAGGUGCACUCUACAGAGCGACCGUUCAAGUGCACGACGUGCACGUCGGCGUUCGCCACGCGUGAUCGUCUCCGCGCUCACCUGAUCCGUCACGAGGAGAAGGUGCCGUGUCACAUCUGUGGGAAGCUGCUGUCCGCCGCUUACAUCACCGACCACAUGAGGGUCCACAACCAAUCACAGCAUCACGCCUGUCACCUCUGCAACCGCAGCUUCACCACCCUCACCUACCUGCGUGUCCACGCCCAGAAGCACCACGGUCAGGAGUGGAAGGAGAGCGGCGGGGCGCGGGGCGGCUUCGGUGGGACGGGCGCCGGCGGUGUUCUGCUCUGUCAGCUGUGCGGCGUGCAGUGCAAGACGGCCACGCAGCUCCAGGGUCACAUGGGCACCCACGCCAACCAGGGCGACCCGAGCCCGGACCCGUCGAGCGCGGGCCCCGUGGGCACCACCAGCGUGGCCGUCACUGUGUCCAGCGCUAGCACAGUGGGACUGCUGGUAACUGACUGCUCCAGUAUCACCCCCCAGCCCCACAGCUAGCACGCUGGAAGGGCAAGGGGUCGGGGUGGGGACGGGUGGGGACGGGUGGGGCAGGGGAUGGAGGCGGGGGAGAUGGUUUAAUGGAGGCAAAUGAGGACUCACGGAGGAGAGGACGGGAAGACGGCAUCCAGUUCAGAUUUCUUUGUAACAGACGAGGACACAGACCAGGAGGAGCUGUCGUGGAAGUCGUCGUGUCUCGUCCUCAGCGUUGCUCCUGGUUUCAUGACCCCCGUUUCCAUCAGCAGGUUCAAACCGCUCACCUGCCACGAACACUGAGUCACAUCCUGUACAGUGUCGAGACGACGAGGAAACGUUCAUAGGAGAAGAUUAUUAAUGUAUUUUUAUUCAUAUGGCUUAUUAGCAGUUAGCUGUUUGUGUUUGCCAUCAUGUCACUGUUUUAAUUUCAUUAUUUUGUAAAGCUGUUCUUUUUAAAUCAUUUCAUGAUAUCAGUGUUUGUUUAUAAUGAGCUUAUAAUGAUAUAUCUCAGUUUCUCCCCUAAUUUAUGACUAAACAGUUUCCGGUUUGCCUUUGUCAGACUCAGCAGGACGCAGGACACGCGUGUCAGUCGGGCCAUCAUGUAUAUACACUUUUGUACAGCUGAUAAAGGCAAACUAAUAGUUGUUUGUGAAUAUUCUCCAUGGACUUUGAAUGUGCAUAACUCCUCUGCUUCAUAUGAUCUCUGCUCUAACGCUGGAUGCUGAUUUGUAAUUCUUGAAAAAAGGUUCAGUUGUAAUUUGUAGCUACCUUUGGUGACACAUUUCUGUGGCUGUGCAUAUUGAUUGUACUUGAUGCAUAGUGCAUAGCGCCUCGUUACUACUGUAUUAAAAAGCAGUAAAAUGCAUGAGUGGAUUGAUCUUCA
RNA transcript from Larimichthys crocea (large yellow croaker), 3469 nucleotides. It is a transcript of the gene named MYC-associated zinc finger protein a (purine-binding transcription factor), with no coding region annotated. The record is from RefSeq and is a predicted model, not a curated record. NCBI's taxonomy places the organism in Eukaryota, Metazoa, Chordata, Actinopteri, Sciaenidae. The transcript has 8 exons.